UUCAUGGCAAUGAUGAGGAGAGUAAAUAUAUAGGACUUUUACAGAGAGCUCUGGUAGCUGAAAAAGAGCAAAGAAGUAUAUAUUGAAACAAGCCUCUGAGCUCCAUACCAAAGCUUUAUUAAAAAUAAAGGGGAGGCUAUGGCGUUUGCUCACGUUACAGAGCUAGGGUAUUAACAUUUUGCAGUACCUGAAGAGGUUAAUAUGGCAACAUAUUAAUAAACUGGGGUGGUACCACGAAGUCAAUAUCUCUCGUCCCCAAG
Molecule: non-coding RNA, 260 nt
Filed under: Clostridium sp.
Lineage: Bacteria; Bacillati; Bacillota; Clostridia; Eubacteriales; Clostridiaceae
Description: T-box sequence
Rfam family: T-box leader
About the family: Uncharged tRNA acts as the effector for transcription antitermination of genes in the T-box leader family.
Source: RNAcentral